RNAcentral lists this unclassified non-coding RNA (353 nucleotides) under soil metagenome. Its description in RNAcentral is "partial contains 5.8S ribosomal RNA, internal transcribed spacer 2, and large subunit ribosomal RNA". The stretch from base 1 to 120 matches the Rfam family "5.8S ribosomal RNA", at positions 35 to 154 of the family's 154-position model. The record is from RNAcentral.
GAUGAAGAACGCAGCGAAAUGCGAUAAGUAAUGUGAAUUGCAGAAUUCAGUGAAUCAUCGAAUCUUUGAACGCACAUUGCGCCCGCCAGUAUUCUGGCGGGCGUGCCUGUUCGAGCGUCAUUACAACCCUCAGGCCCCCGGGCCUGGCGUUGGGGAUCGGCGGAAGCCCCCUGCGGGCACAACGCCGUCCCCCAAAUACAGUGGCGGUCCCGCCGCAGCUUCCAUUGCGUAGUAGCUAACACCUCGCAACUGGAGAGCGGCGCGGCCACGCCGUAAAACACCCAACUUCUGAAUGUUGACCUCGAAUCAGGUAGGAAUACCCGCUGAACUUAAGCAUAUCAAUAAGCGGAGGA